This 324-nucleotide ribosomal RNA is filed under the name uncultured eukaryote. Its description in RNAcentral is "partial 18S ribosomal RNA". It matches the Rfam family "Eukaryotic small subunit ribosomal RNA", at positions 1470 to 1796 of the family's 1831-position model. The record is from RNAcentral.
CCCUUAGAUGUUCUGGGCCGCACGCGCGCUACACUGAUGCAUUCAACGAGUUUCUUCCUGGUCCGAGAGGAAUGGGUAACCUUUUGAAAGUGCAUCGUGAUAGGGAUAGACUAUUGCAAUUAUUGGUCUUCAACGAGGAAUUCCUAGUAGACGUAGUUCAUCAGACUGCAUCGAUUACGUCCCUGCCCUUUGUACACACCGCCCGUCGCUCCUACCGAUUGAAUGCUCAGGUGAGCCAUUCGGACUUUUAUCAUGCUGGUUUCCAGUUUUGAUGAAGGAAAGUCUUGCGAACCUUAUCAUUUAGAGGAAGGAGAAGUCGUAACA